This 400-nucleotide ribosomal RNA is filed under the name uncultured bacterium. RNAcentral's name for it is "bacterial SSU rRNA". It matches the Rfam family "Bacterial small subunit ribosomal RNA", at positions 355 to 770 of the family's 1533-position model. The record is from RNAcentral.
UCGAGAAUCUUCCGCAAUGGGCGAAAGCCUGACGGAGCGACGCCGCGUGACUGAUGAAGUCUUUCGGGAUGUAAAGGUCUUUUAUGAGGGAUGACAUAGCGACAGUACCUCAUGAAUAAGGGGCUGCUAAUCACGUGCCAGCAGCAGCGGUAAUACGUGAGCCCCAAGCGUUAUCCGGAAUUACUGGGCGUAAAGUGUGCGUAGGCGGUCUAGUUAGUCUCUUGCUAAAUCCAUCGGCUCAACCGGUGAACUCCAAGGGAAACGGCUAGACUAGAGGGUGCGAGAGGUCUGUGGAACUCAACAUGUAGGGGUGAAAUCCGUUGAUAUGUUGGGGAACACCAAAUGCGAAGGCAACAGACUGGCGCAUUCCUGACGCUGAGGCACGAAAGCGUGGGUAGCG